Molecule: long non-coding RNA, 584 nt
Filed under: Musa acuminata (dwarf banana)
Lineage: Eukaryota; Viridiplantae; Streptophyta; Magnoliopsida; Zingiberales; Musaceae
Description: long non-coding RNA (MACU_LNC005106)
Source: RNAcentral
GGCUUCUGUUCUGGACUUCCUUUGUCUUCUCUUCUUAGUGCUUCUCCUUUCCUCCUCGCCGGUCUCCUCGGGCAAAUGCAACAAGGAUGACAAGAAGGCCCUGCUCGCCAUCAAGAAGGCUCUCGGCGACCCCUACGUCCUCAUCGCAUGGACCUCCCAGUAUGCCUGCUGCGACUGGGCCGGCGUCCGUUGCAACGAGACCACCAGCCGGGUCACCUCCCUCGACAUCGACGGCACCAACACCUCCUUCGCCAUCCCGUCCGCUGUCGCCCACCUCCCCUUCCUCACCUCCCUCACUUUCCACAAGAACCCCGGCCUCACCGGCCCCAUUCCCCCUGCCAUCGGCACCAUUACCGACCUCACCUUCCUGCGCCUCGACUGGAACAGCCUCUCCGGCCCCGUCCCGGACUUCCUCGCACGUCUCACCCGCCUUGAUUACCUCAACCUCGCCUUCAACCAGUUCUCCGGCGCCAUUCCCGCGUCCCUCGCGACGCUCCCCCUCAGCUACCUCGCCAUCGACCACAACCGGCUCACUGGUCCCAUCCCCGAGUCGCUGGCCCGGUCGCCCGCCGCCUACCUUUAUC